This 906-nucleotide ribosomal RNA is filed under the name Bacteroides fragilis. RNAcentral's name for it is "bacterial SSU rRNA". It matches the Rfam family "Bacterial small subunit ribosomal RNA", at positions 288 to 1195 of the family's 1533-position model. Lineage: Bacteria; Pseudomonadati; Bacteroidota; Bacteroidia; Bacteroidales; Bacteroidaceae. The record is from RNAcentral.
GGUUCUGAGAGGAAGGUCCCCCACAUUGGAACUGAGACACGGUCCAAACUCCUACGGGAGGCAGCAGUGAGGAAUAUUGGUCAAUGGGCGUUAGCCUGAACCAGCCAAGUAGCGUGAAGGAUGAAGGCUCUAUGGGUCGUAAACUUCUUUUAUAUAAGAAUAAAGUGCAGUAUGUAUACUGUUUUGUAUGUAUUAUAUGAAUAAGGAUCGGCUAACUCCGUGCCAGCAGCCGCGGUAAUACGGAGGAUCCGAGCGUUAUCCGGAUUUAUUGGGUUUAAAGGGAGCGUAGGUGGACUGGUAAGUCAGUUGUGAAAGUUUGCGGCUCAACCGUAAAAUUGCAGUUGAUACUGUCAGUCUUGAGUACAGUAGAGGUGGGCGGAAUUCGUGGUGUAGCGGUGAAAUGCUUAGAUAUCACGAAGAACUCCGAUUGCGAAGGCAGCUCACUGGACUGCAACUGACACUGAUGCUCGAAAGUGUGGGUAUCAAACAGGAUUAGAUACCCUGGUAGUCCACACAGUAAACGAUGAAUACUCGCUGUUUGCGAUAUACAGUAAGCGGCCAAGCGAAAGCAUUAAGUAUUCCACCUGGGGAGUACGCCGGCAACGGUGAAACUCAAAGGAAUUGACGGGGGCCCGCACAAGCGGAGGAACAUGUGGUUUAAUUCGAUGAUACGCGAGGAACCUUACCCGGGCUUAAAUUGCAGUGGAAUGAUGUGGAAACAUGUCAGUGAGCAAUCACCGCUGUGAAGGUGCUGCAUGGUUGUCGUCAGCUCGUGCCGUGAGGUGUCGGCUUAAGUGCCAUAACGAGCGCAACCCUUAUCUUUAGUUACUAACAGGUUAUGCUGAGGACUCUAGAGAGACUGCCGUCGUAAGAUGUGAGGAAGGUGGGGAUGACGUCAAAUCAGCA